RNAcentral lists this ribosomal RNA (452 nucleotides) under uncultured bacterium. Its description in RNAcentral is "bacterial SSU rRNA". It matches the Rfam family "Bacterial small subunit ribosomal RNA", at positions 29 to 524 of the family's 1533-position model. The record is from RNAcentral.
AACGAACGCUGGCGGCAGGCUUAACACAUGCAAGUCGAACGGGUGUAGCAAUACAUCAGUGGCAGACGGGUGAGUAACACGUGGGAACCUUCCUAGGGGUACGGAACAACUCAGGGAAACUUGAGCUAAUACCGUAUACGUCCGUAAGGAGAAAGAUUCAUCGCCCCUAGACGGGCCCGCGUCGGAUUAGGUAGUUGGUGGGGUAACGGCCUACCAAGCCUACGAUCCGUAGCUGAUCUGAGAGGANGAUCAGCCACACUGGGACUGAGACACGGCCCAGACUCCUACGGGAGGCAGCAGUGGGGAAUCUUGGACAAUGGGCGCAAGCCUGAUCCAGCCAUGCCGCGUGAGUGAAGAAGGCCUUAGGGUUGUAAAGCUCUUUUACCAGGGACGAUAAUGACGGUACCUGGAGAAUAAGCCCCGGCAAACUUCGUGCCAGCAGCCGCAGUAAC